UACGGAGGGGGCUAGCGUUGUUCGGAAUUACUGGGGCGUAAAGCGCACGUAGGCGGAUCAGCCAGUCAGGGGUGAAAUCCCGGGGCUCAACCCCGGAACUGCCCUUGAUACUGCUGGUCUGGAGUUCGAGAGAGGCGAGUGGAAUUCCGAGUGUAGAGGUGAAAUUCGUAGAUAUUCGGAGGAACACCAGUGGCGAAGGCGGCUCGCUGGCUCGACACUGACGCUGAGGUGCGAAAGCGUGGGGAGCAAACAGGAUUAGAUACCCCCGUAGUCCCU
This 276-nucleotide ribosomal RNA is filed under the name uncultured prokaryote. RNAcentral describes it as "partial 16S ribosomal RNA". It matches the Rfam family "Bacterial small subunit ribosomal RNA", at positions 524 to 798 of the family's 1533-position model. The record is from RNAcentral.